GAGUUUGAUCCUGGCUCAGGAUGAACGCUGGCGGCGUGCUUAACACAUGCAAGUCGAACGAGGCGCCUUAUUUGAUUUCCUUCGGGACUGAUUAUUUUGUGACUGAGUGGCGGACGGGUGAGUAACGCGUGGGUAACCUGCCUUGUACAGGGGGAUAACAGUUGGAAACGGCUGCUAAUACCGCAUAAGCGCACAGCAUCGCAUGAUGCAGUGUGAAAAACUCCGGUGGUGUGAGAUGGACCCGCGUCUGAUUAGCUAGUUGGCAGGGCAACGGCCUACCAAGGCGACGAUCAGUAGCCGACCUGAGAGGGUGACCGGCCACAUUGGGACUGAGACACGGCCCAAACUCCUACGGGAGGCAGCAGUGGGGAAUAUUGCACAAUGGGGGAAACCCUGAUGCAGCGACGCCGCGUGAGUGAAGAAGUAUUUCGGUAUGUAAAGCUCUAUCAGCAGGGAAGAAGAAAUGACGGUACCUGACUAAGAAGCACCGGCUAAAUACGUGCCAGCCGCCGCGGUAAUAC
RNAcentral lists this ribosomal RNA (521 nucleotides) under uncultured bacterium. RNAcentral describes it as "bacterial SSU rRNA". It matches the Rfam family "Bacterial small subunit ribosomal RNA", at positions 9 to 526 of the family's 1533-position model. The record is from RNAcentral.